Long non-coding RNA from Pezoporus occidentalis (night parrot), 3064 nucleotides. RefSeq lists it as uncharacterized. NCBI's taxonomy places the organism in Eukaryota, Metazoa, Chordata, Aves, Psittaciformes, Psittacidae. The record is from RefSeq and is a predicted model, not a curated record. The transcript has 3 exons.
ACCUGUCCUUAUAGCUUCAGACUUAGUUUGAACUGGAAAAAAAAGUAAGGAAUAAACGUACGGUUUUAAUUUGGCUUUCUCUUCCAGCUGUUUCUGAGUGAGAUCUUGACUGAAAAUCUGUUUGAACUGGCUAUAUUAACCUACCUCUAUGAUUUGAGGCCAGAUUCUAGUGAGAACAAUGUCUGAGAUUUUAGAGAUGUCACAAAUAGCCCUAGGCCUCAGUUUGCUAUUAAAUUUGUGUUUAAUCUCGCCUCUACAGCAAAGCUGCCUUUGCAGAUGGUCCUGGUGGCCCUAUUGCUGGGCAUGAUUAGAAGCUGGGUCUGUUUUGCUCAGCAUGUUACUGCUUGACAAUUCACCACUGGGUUUUUGAAGCUGUGUUCCCGAUGCCAGGCAGAAAGGCAGCCAGAGCAAGCCUGUUGCAGCUUCAAAGUCAGAAAACAAAGAUAUUCCCACAGUACACUGAACAAAAUGAAAAAAAACAAACAAAAUAAACCAAAAAGAAGAGGAAAUCUAGAGUCUUCACUGUGUCAGCAGUAGCAAAGGAGACAAAGGGCCAGGUCUGGAGCUGGCAUAGCCACAGGGGAAGGAAGAACCACAGCUGCCUUUUAUUGCAGAAUGAUGCAAGCUGGAUGCAGGCAGCCCCUUUUAAACUUCCUUAAACCCAAUCUAUCUUCCUGCUACUCCACCCUAUGUGACAGGCUGUUUUAAGAGAUGCACAAGCUGAACUUAAAGCUGGAAUUGGUGGAUGCGGCUUUUCCUGCCCUGCAGAAUGAGCUGGUUUGACAGGAGCAUCAGCAAGGGAGGAUAAAUACAGAGACGCACUGUGUGAUGGUAAUCGCUCCUACAGCCCACCUCCUUGAUGCUUCUGAGCAGGAUCGCAACAGAAACAAGAAGAAAGGGUUUCUCUCUCAACUUGGUGCUAUAAUUCCCUCCUUCUUCUUUCUGUCCCCCUCCCCAAAAUCCCCAGGAAGGCAGUGAAAUCUGAUAGGCAGUGAAAUCAAAACUGUCCUGUUACCAGGUUACCCACCACUAGAUCUGUGAGGGACUUGGGAAUAUUCUCUAUGACUGAACAAGUGACUGCUCUGUCCUGGGGGUAUAAAUCUAGUGCAAGCUUGUCAGCAUAAGCCUUGUAUAUUUACGGGAAGCUUUCAGAGGAAUCGCACAGGAUCAGAGUUUCUGUUCAGCUCUGAGACACAGCAUCCCCAGCAUGCCUGGGAAGAGAGAGGCACGUCCCAGGCACAUGCUGCUGCUCCACUGCCAAGCCCUGAAGAGCAGUGAUGCAUUUGUGCUGAUUUGUCACUUCUGGAACCAAUGUAAGAGACCUGGAGUGGGAGCAUGAAGGAUGGAAGUGACACCAGGGGUGAGAGUGGUGGCAUCACCAUUAGACCAGUUACUUGAGCAUGAACUGGGAUGGAGCAGCACCUUGAGCUGAUGGAGACCUCCAAAGAGACAGUGACUCAAAACACAGACCUGAACAUCCCACACAGAGCCCUCCCUCUGCAGAUAUUUAAUGGUAAGUCGGGCUGGGGGUGCCAGCGAUGAUUGGCCAUUAUUGAUUAUUAAAUGCCUCACAGCUAAUGAGUGGUGCUUUCAGGCUGGUUGUGUCCACGGCAUAAAGGAAAAACACCAGGAUUUGCACCUCCUGGCACUGCGGCGCCAAGAGAGGUGGAGUUAACUUAAUAAAUAAAUAAAUACAUAAUCUCCAGGCAUUUACUUUAAGUCAGGACUGAAACACCAGAGGGGAAAGCUGCAGCACUGCUUCCCAUGUACUCUUGUCUGUGCUGAGCGGACCCAGGCCCCUGGGGUAUGGAUUUCAAGAGCAAUAAAUUCACUCUAAAAAUUUAAAAAGGAUGACGCAGAAAACUUCAAAAAACCAAACAAACCAGCUUCACACAAUAAAAGCCAUUUCUCUCCUGACGUCUCUCUCUAGUUAUGGCAUGACACAUCAAGGUCAGAUACCCUGUCCCACAGGAGCAGGGCUUUAUACAAGGUGAAAAUCGUCCCCUGAUGGUGUGUGAUGUCUGGUGUUUCGUAACGAUAAAGUUUACUUAUAUAAAACCCAGGAUUCUCAUAGUGGGACGUCAUUUAUAGCAAGUGUUCCCUCCCACAGUGCAGGAAAGCGCUGAGCUGAAGUGCCUUCAGGACACAGGAAGUGUCAAGGAGAUAUUUAACCUGCAAUUGCUGAUUCCAGGCCCUGUUGUCUAACUCCUGUAUCAUACCUCCUUCUGCACGCAAAGGAGAGCUCGCAUCUGUAGCUCAAUAAAUUAGCCAUUCAUACCAGGAGGUUUCUCUGUGGCAGAAGCUGAACUCAACAGCAAGAAUAAUAAUCCAUAUGUUUGUUAUUGUGAUUAGCUCCUCUGGAAGAUAAAACUUAGAAAGCUCUGCUGGAGCAUCACGAAUGCUGCAGUGCUUAAGGCCCCUGGUGCUUUCUGUCAGGAAGGGGGAUGUGAACAAGGAUCCCCUCCCUGCCUAGGGCAUUUCCACCCCACCGGUCUCCUCCAUGGCUUGUUCUGCUUCCCUGCCAUCCUGAGGUUUAAAAAAUCUCUCUUUUGCUUUUAAUGCAGUGGGUUUUCUCGUGCGUAGUCUCCUAAAUGAAUGCAUAGGCUGUUCCUGGCGUGCUUUAUGCCUUCAUGCAUUUUUAAUGAUUUACAUGGAAAAGAUUUUUUUCUCUUUCUCUCCCUCUCUUCCCCCCUUUUCUUCCUCCUUCACUCCCUUCUUCUUUCCUUAAAAAAAUAAAAGAAAACUUAAAAAAAAGGAAAAGUAAUGACUUAAUACAUAUCCAGUGGAAUUGAUGGUUUGUGGGGGGCGGUUUUAUAAUUCCAGGUUCAAGUUUUUUCUAUUUAAUUAUGCACUACAAUUCUCAUGAACUAUAAUGCAAUAACAAAAGCAUGCACCAGAAUUGACAUAAGUCUGUUCUGUAUUAGUACGGGUAUGGAUACCGUGCUUUAUGUGUGAAAUAAAAUAUUUGGAACUAAUGCUGAGUCUGUUUCUUUAGAAUUACAUAGAAUACUUCUUCCUUUAAAACACUGAAACUGGGGCUCUCUGGUCUCUAUUUGGCCUGCUU